RNAcentral lists this ribosomal RNA (328 nucleotides) under uncultured eukaryote. RNAcentral describes it as "partial 18S ribosomal RNA". It matches the Rfam family "Eukaryotic small subunit ribosomal RNA", at positions 1470 to 1796 of the family's 1831-position model. The record is from RNAcentral.
CCCUUAGAUGUUCUGGGCCGCACGCGCGCUACACUGAUGCAUUCAACGAGUUUCUCCUUGUCCGAAAGGACUGGGUAACCCGCUGAACCUCCUUCGUGCUAGGGAUUGGGGCUUGUAAUUCUUCCCCAUGAACGAGGAAUUCCCAGUAAGCGCGAGUCAUAAGCUCGCGUUGAUUACGUCCCUGCCCUUUGUACACACCGCCCGUCGCUACUACCGAUUGGAUGGUUUAGUGAGAUCCUCGGAUUGGUCCCGGCGCGGCCUCUGGUCGUGCCGGAGUGCCGAAAAGAAUGUCGAACUUGAUCAUCUAGAGGAAGUAAAAGUCGUAACA